RNAcentral lists this long non-coding RNA (215 nucleotides) under Elaeis guineensis (African oil palm). RNAcentral describes it as "long non-coding RNA (EGUI_LNC019723)". The record is from RNAcentral. Lineage: Eukaryota; Viridiplantae; Streptophyta; Magnoliopsida; Arecales; Arecaceae.
CCAACCUCUCCAGUCAUACCACUUCAUGAUGUCCGAUCUAGAUUUUGGAGGUGGAUGUUACCUUAUCCAAUAUGCAGUCAGUUAUUCUCAGAGGUGGUGUGAUUUGAUGUGACCUCAUCCAAUGCGGAACUAGUCGUUGGAGUGGCGUGGUCCAACGUAGAGUGACAUGACUUGAUGAGAUUGUGUGGGGGUCAAUCUUUCCAAAUGUGGCAGCC